Long non-coding RNA from Meriones unguiculatus (Mongolian gerbil), 198 nucleotides. RefSeq lists it as uncharacterized. The record is from RefSeq and is a predicted model, not a curated record. Lineage: Eukaryota; Metazoa; Chordata; Mammalia; Rodentia; Muridae. The transcript is spliced from 3 exons.
UAUUUUUACUGGCCAGUUGCCGGAGGCCACAGUUUUCAUAGCCUGCCCUCAGCACUGCCCUCACAGUCUGUAGUCUGUGGUGAGACUCAGGCCAGCCUGGCUCCACGAGGACUGAACUAGGCGCUUUUGGCUCUUUUAGCCUGUCUCAUCUGCACAAGACACAAACAGGUGCUGCCUUGUUACCACCAUGCCGGAAGU